UACGUAGGGUGCAAGCGUUGUCCGGAAUUAUUGGGCGUAAAGAGCGUGUAGGCGGCCAGAAAAGUCCGCUGUGAAAACUCGAGGCUCAACUUCGAGCUGUCGGUGGAAACUUUCUGGCUAGAGUCCGGAAGAGGAGAAUGGAAUUCCUGGUGUAGCGGUGAAAUGCGCAGAUAUCGGGAGGAACACCAGUAGCGAAGGCGACACUCUGGGCCGGUACUGACGCUGAGGAGCGAAAGCGUGGGGAGCAAACAGG
Molecule: ribosomal RNA, 253 nt
Filed under: uncultured bacterium
Lineage: Bacteria
Description: partial 16S ribosomal RNA
Rfam family: Bacterial small subunit ribosomal RNA
Source: RNAcentral